This 165-nucleotide ribosomal RNA is filed under the name uncultured bacterium. RNAcentral's name for it is "partial 16S rRNA". It matches the Rfam family "Bacterial small subunit ribosomal RNA", at positions 355 to 511 of the family's 1533-position model. The record is from RNAcentral.
UAGGGAAUCUUCGGCAAUGGGGGCAACCCUGACCGAGCAACGCCGCGUGAGUGAAGAAGGUCUUCGGAUCGUAAAACUCUGUUGUAAGAGAAGAACGUGUGUGAGAGUGGAAAGUUCACACAGUGACGGUAACUUACCAGAAAGGGACGGCUAACUACGUGUCAG